RNAcentral lists this ribosomal RNA (484 nucleotides) under uncultured bacterium. RNAcentral describes it as "partial 16S ribosomal RNA". It matches the Rfam family "Bacterial small subunit ribosomal RNA", at positions 30 to 507 of the family's 1533-position model. The record is from RNAcentral.
AUUGAACGCUGGCGGCAGGCCUAACACAUGCAAGUCGAGCGGAUGAAGGGAGCUUGCUCCUGGAUUCAGCGGCGGACGGGUGAGUAAUGCCUAGGAAUCUGCCUGGUAGUGGGGGAUAACGUCCGGAAACGGGCGCUAAUACCGCAUACGUCCUGAGGGAGAAAGUGGGGGAUCUUCGGACCUCACGCUAUCAGAUGAGCCUAGGUCGGAUUAGCUAGUUGGUGGGGUAAAGGCCUACCAAGGCGACGAUCCGUAACUGGUCUGAGAGGAUGAUCAGUCACACUGGAACUGAGACACGGUCCAGACUCCUACGGGAGGCAGCAGAGGGGAAUAUUGGACAAUGGGCGAAAGCCUGAUCCAGCCAUGCCGCGUGUGUGAAGAAGGUCUUCGGAUUGUAAAGCACUUUAAGUUGGGAGGAAGGGUAGUAAGUUAAUACCGUGCUGUUUUGACGUUACCAACAGAAUAAGCACCGGCUAACUUCGUG